CGGAGGGUGCAAGCGUUAUCCGGAUUCACUGGGUUUAAAGGGUGCGUAGGUGGGUCUGUAAGUCAGUGGUGAAAUCCCCGAGCUUAACUUGGGAACUGCCAUUGAUACUAUAGCUCUUGAAUACUGUGGAGGUCAGCGGAAUAUGUCAUGUAGCGGUGAAAUGCUUAGAUAUGACAUAGAACACCAAUUGCGAAGGCAGCUGGCUACACAAAUAUUGACACUGAGGCACGAAAGCGUGGGGAUCAAACAGGAUUAGAUACCCUGGUAGUCCACGCCCUAAACUAUGGAUACUCGACAUUUGCGAUACACAGCAAGUGUCUGAGCGAAAGCAUUAAGUAUCCCACCUGGGAAGUACGAUCGCAAGAUUG
RNAcentral lists this ribosomal RNA (368 nucleotides) under uncultured organism. Its description in RNAcentral is "bacterial SSU rRNA". It matches the Rfam family "Bacterial small subunit ribosomal RNA", at positions 526 to 896 of the family's 1533-position model. The record is from RNAcentral.